Molecule: long non-coding RNA, 353 nt
Organism: Phyllopteryx taeniolatus (common seadragon)
Lineage: Eukaryota; Metazoa; Chordata; Actinopteri; Syngnathiformes; Syngnathidae
Exons: 3
Source: RefSeq, a predicted model, not a curated record
GGUGUAGUGGUCGGUCAUAUUUGAGACUACAGCAGAAUGUAUCAUGACCAGUGAGAGCCAAUCACAAUGUUGCCUUUUGAAGGAGGGCGUGAUCGAGCGUUUGUGGAGAUUUUUCAAAUAGGACUGGGCACCUCGCAUGAUGAUGACGAUUAUGAGCCUUCUAUUUUAAGUGAGACAACAACGCUGACAGAUGGCCAUGCUAGAAAUGGGGCUUGCUUGCCAGUAGAUGUGUGCUGCUAAUCGCCUAGUGUGCAACAAAGAGGCUUUCGUCACAUCACUCAACGUGCGGUGGGUCUAAAUAACUUGCAAUUACGCUGGUUAAACGAAGGGCACUCCAGUUUUUAUUUAGUGGG